This 468-nucleotide ribosomal RNA is filed under the name uncultured bacterium. RNAcentral describes it as "partial 16S ribosomal RNA". It matches the Rfam family "Bacterial small subunit ribosomal RNA", at positions 28 to 507 of the family's 1533-position model. The record is from RNAcentral.
GACGAACGCUGGCGGCGUGCUUAACACAUGCAAGUCGAACGGAAAGGCCCUGCUUUUGUGGGGUGCUCGAGUGGCGAACGGGUGAGUAACACGUGAGUAACCUGCCCUUGACUUUGGGAUAACUUCAGGAAACUGGGGCUAAUACCGGAUAGGAGCUCCUGCUGCAUGGUGGGGGUUGGAAAGUUUCGGCGGUUGGGGAUGGACUCGCGGCUUAUCAGCUUGUUGGUGGGGUAGUGGCUUACCAAGGCUUUGACGGGUAGCCGGCCUGAGAGGGUGACCGGCCACAUUGGGACUGAGAUACGGCCCAGACUCCUGCGGGAGGCAGCAGUGGGGAAUAUUGCACAAUGGGCGGAAGCCUGGUGCAGCAACGCCGCGUGCGGGAUGACGGCCUUCGGGUUGUAAACCGCUUUCGCCUGUGACGAAGCGUGAGUGACGGUAAUGGGUAAAGAAGCACCGGCUAACUACGUG